UACGAAGGGGGCUAGCGUUGCUCGGAAUCACUGGGCGUAAAGCGCACGUAGGCGGAUCUUUAAGUCAGGGUGAAAUCCUGGAGCUCAACUCCAGAACUGCCUUUGAUACUGGGGAUCUCGAGUCCGGAAGAGGUGAGUGGAACUCCGAGUGUAGAGGUGAAAUUCGUAGAUAUUCGGAAGAACACCAGUGGCGAAGGCGGCUCACUGGUCCGGUACUGACGCUGAGGUGCGAAAGCGUGGGGAGCAAACAGG
This 252-nucleotide ribosomal RNA is filed under the name uncultured bacterium. RNAcentral describes it as "partial 16S ribosomal RNA". It matches the Rfam family "Bacterial small subunit ribosomal RNA", at positions 524 to 776 of the family's 1533-position model. The record is from RNAcentral.